Molecule: ribosomal RNA, 372 nt
Filed under: uncultured organism
Description: partial 16S ribosomal RNA
Rfam family: Bacterial small subunit ribosomal RNA
Source: RNAcentral
GUAGGUGCAAGCGUUGUCCGGAAUUAUUGGGCGUAAAGCGCGCGCAGGCGGUCCUUUAAGUCUGAUGUGAAAGCCCACGGCUCAACCGUGGAGGGUCAUUGGAAACUGGGGGACUUGAGUACAGAAGAGGAAAGCGGAAUUCCAAGUGUAGCGGUGAAAUGCGUAGAGAUUUGGAGGAACACCAGUGGCGAAGGCGGCUUUCUGGUCUGUAACUGACGCUGAGGCGCGAAAGCGUGGGGAGCAAACAGGAUUAGAUACCCUGGUAGUCCACGCCGUAAACGAUGAGUGCUAAGUGUUAGGGGGUUUCCCGCCCCCUUAGUGCUGCAGCUAACGCAUUAAGCACUCCGCCUGGGGAGUACGGCCGCAAGGCUG